GCGAGAGUGCUGGAACUGGCAGACAGGCACGUUUGAGGGGCGUGUGGUCAAUACCGUACGGGUUCAAGUCCCGUCUCUCGCACCA
This 85-nucleotide transfer RNA is filed under the name Anaerobranca californiensis DSM 14826. Its description in RNAcentral is "tRNA_Leu_GAG". It matches the Rfam family "tRNA". From Rfam's summary of the family: Transfer RNA (tRNA) molecules are approximately 80 nucleotides in length. The record is from RNAcentral. RNAcentral also lists the same sequence under 1 other name. Lineage: Bacteria; Bacillati; Bacillota; Clostridia; Eubacteriales; Proteinivoracaceae.